GAUGAACGCUGGCGGCGUGCCUAAUACAUGCAAGUCGAGCGAACGGACGAGAAGCUUGCUUCUCUGACGUUAGCGGCGGACGGGUGAGUAACACGUGGAUAACCUACCUAUAAGACUGGGAUAACUUCGGGAAACCGGAGCUAAUACCGGAUGAUAUUUUGAUCCGCAUGGUUCAAAAGUGAAAGACGGUCUUGCUGUCACUUAUCGAUGGAUCCGCGCUGCAUUAGCUAGUUGGUAAGGUAACGGCUUACCAAGGCAAGGAUGCAUAGCCGACCGCAUAGGGUGAUCGGCCACACUGGAACUUAGACACGGUCCAGACGCCUGCGGGAGGCAGCAGUAGGGAAUCUGCCGCAAUGGUCGAAAGCCUGACGGAGCAACGCCGCGUGAGUGAUGAAGGUCUUCGGAUCGUAAAACUCUGUUAUUAGGGAAGAACAGAUGUGUAAGUAACUGUGCACAUCUUGACGGUACCUAAUCAGAAAGCCACGGCUAACUACGUG
RNAcentral lists this ribosomal RNA (497 nucleotides) under uncultured bacterium. Its description in RNAcentral is "partial 16S ribosomal RNA". It matches the Rfam family "Bacterial small subunit ribosomal RNA", at positions 28 to 507 of the family's 1533-position model. The record is from RNAcentral.